This 89-nucleotide microRNA precursor is filed under the name Petromyzon marinus (sea lamprey). Its description in RNAcentral is "microRNA pma-mir-137 precursor (pma-mir-137-1)". Its record names the gene pma-mir-137-1. The stretch from base 10 to 80 matches the Rfam family "mir-137 microRNA precursor family". Lineage: Eukaryota; Metazoa; Chordata; Hyperoartia; Petromyzontiformes; Petromyzontidae. The record is from miRBase by way of RNAcentral.
AUAGCUCCUCGCGGCGACGCGUAUUCUUGGGUAAAUAAUACGUUUCCCGCUGUUAUUGCUUAAGAAUACACGUAGCCGGGGGGAGUGCG